Molecule: ribosomal RNA, 253 nt
Filed under: uncultured bacterium
Lineage: Bacteria
Description: partial 16S ribosomal RNA
Rfam family: Archaeal small subunit ribosomal RNA
Source: RNAcentral
UACCAGCACCCCGAGUGGUCGGGACGAUUAUUGGGCCUAAAGCAUCCGUAGCCGGUUCUGCAAGUCCCCCGUUAAAUCCAGCUGCUCAACAGAUGGGCCGCGGAGGAUACUACAGAGCUAGGAGGCAGGAGAGGCAAGCGGUACUCAGUGGGUAGGGGUAAAAUCCGUUGAUCCAUUGAAGACCACCCGUGGCGAAGGCGGCUUGCCAGAAUGCGCUCGACGGUGAGGGAUGAAAGCUGGGGGAGCAAACCGG